RNAcentral lists this ribosomal RNA (364 nucleotides) under uncultured Glomeromycotina. RNAcentral describes it as "partial 18S ribosomal RNA". It matches the Rfam family "Eukaryotic small subunit ribosomal RNA", at positions 722 to 1085 of the family's 1831-position model. The record is from RNAcentral. Lineage: Eukaryota; Fungi; Glomeromycota.
UUCAUUGGGGGUGUGGGGAAAUCAGGACGGUAACUUUGAAAAAAUUAAAGGGUUUAAGGCAGGCCCGGGCUGGAAUACUUUACCAGGAAAAAAGGAAAUAGGAGGUUGAUCCUAUUUUGUUGGUUUCUAGGAUUGACGUAAUGAUUAAUAGGGAUAGUUGGGGGCAUUAGUAUUCAAUUGCCAGAGGUGAAAUUCUUGGAUUUAUUGAAGACUAACUACUGCGAAAGCAUUUGCCAAGGAUGUUUUCAUUAAUCAAGAACGAAAGUUAGGGGAUCGAAGACGAUCAGAUACCGUCGUAGUCUUAACCAUAAACUAUGCCGACUAGGGAUCGGAUGAUGUUAAUUUUUUAAUGACUCAUUCGGCC